UGGAAGGCCGACCGCGACGCCGAUGCCAUCACUGUCGCCACCUGAGGAUCUCCGCCACCGCAGCUACCUGGAAUUGAACGGUGAGCUGUACGUGGUCGGAGCCAUGGUGAACGUGCUCCGCUGACACAGAGCUUCGCUGGAACAAGCGCCUCCAUGUUGAAGAGGAACAGAAUCUACUUCUUCGAGCCUCUGUAUGGUGAUCAAAAUCACUUUGCCCAUUGUUUGGAGAUCGCUGACAUUGCCACCGGCACAUCGGAGGUGAAGCUUUUCCAAGAGAAGGCGCAAGCUUUCGAGGCUCUAGGUUGGAUUCGGCCAAAUUUCUCGAGGGGACGAGGAAAAUCCACAAGAAGAAGCAGCUCCUAGUCAGUCCCGAUCCACAAGAAGCAGCAGCUCCUUAGUCAGUCCCGCCUGAAGCUAAACCCGAAGCUCCAAGAGAAGCUAGCCAAAAGGCUGAGAGGAUUCAUAUACAUUUUGUCAGAGCUGCUGCUGCUGCCUCAUAAUGCUCGGUUUAAGGAUGGAACAGAUACUAUAGCUAUAAUUAGCUGCAAAUGUGUCCGGUAUUUUUCGAACUAUUAUUGUUCUUGAUGUAAACCUACCGACAGUAUCAUCUAGGUCUCUGAAC
This is a long non-coding RNA of Panicum hallii, 622 nucleotides long. RefSeq lists it as uncharacterized. The record is from RefSeq and is a predicted model, not a curated record. The transcript has 3 exons. Lineage: Eukaryota; Viridiplantae; Streptophyta; Magnoliopsida; Poales; Poaceae.